ACGAACGCUGGCGGCGUGCUUAAUGAAUGCGAGUCGAACGAGAUUCGAUCUGCGUCUUCGGACAAGGAUUGUUGAGAGUGGCGAACGGGUGAGUAACACGUGGGCAACCUGCCUCCAAGACGGGCAUAACAGAGGGAAACUUCUGCUAAUUCCCGAUAUACUGGUACCACACAAGUGAGUAUCAGGAAAGCUUUUGCGCUUGGCGAUGGGCCCGCGGCCGAUUAGCUUGUUGGUGAGGUAAUGGCCCACCAAGGCGACGAUCGGUAGCCGACCUGAGAGGGUGACCGGCCACACUGGGACUGAGACAUGGUCCAGACUCCUACGGGAGUUAGCAUCAGGGAAUCUUGCGCAAUGGGCGAAAGCCUGACGCAGCGACGCCGCGUGUGGGAUGAAGGUCUGCGGAUCGUAAACCACUGUCAGGCGGGACGAAUGAAUGACUGUACCGCCAGAGGAAGCCCCGGCUAACUACGU
RNAcentral lists this ribosomal RNA (471 nucleotides) under uncultured bacterium. Its description in RNAcentral is "bacterial SSU rRNA". It matches the Rfam family "Bacterial small subunit ribosomal RNA", at positions 29 to 506 of the family's 1533-position model. The record is from RNAcentral.